AGAGUUUGAUCCUGGCUCAGGACUAACGCUGGCGGCGUGCCUAACACAUGCAAGUCGAACGAAGGUAGCAAUACCUUAGUGGCAGACGGGUGAGUAACACGUGGUCAACCUACCUCUGUGUGGGGGAUAACUAGCCGAAAGGUUAGCUAAUACCGCAUACGAUCGUUUUGAGGCAUCCCGAGACGAUGAAAGGAGCAAUC
Molecule: ribosomal RNA, 200 nt
Filed under: uncultured bacterium
Lineage: Bacteria
Description: partial 16S ribosomal RNA
Rfam family: Bacterial small subunit ribosomal RNA
Source: RNAcentral